AAUGCAGAACCAUCUCUCCAGUGUGUAAUUUAAAAAUGAGAUUGAAAUAUAAAAAAAUGGGUCAACGAAUUCAUCUCAUCGAAAAAAGUGUCAUUCUUCAACUGAGGAAUCCAUUUGUUGCCUGAAAAAUGGUCCAAAAUUGUAACAAACGAGGGACAAUAUUUUGACUAAACAAACAUAUACCUAAACAACGGAUACCAACACACCAAUCUGCCGUUAUAUUUAAGGUGCUUCGCGGAGAAACACAGUAAGUCUUUGUAUAUUUGAUUCAGGCCGUAAUCGAUUUUAGAAGGAAUAUGGGAAGUUGCUUGAUGUUCUUCUAUUAUUGGAUUUAUCUUCAUAGUACCUAUACGCUCCGUGGCUUCUCUUAUACCGUAAGGCCUGACCGCCAAAGUGGAUAUGAAAAAUCUGCUACCACAACGUCGAUGUAA
Molecule: long non-coding RNA, 431 nt
Organism: Harpegnathos saltator (Jerdon's jumping ant)
Lineage: Eukaryota; Metazoa; Arthropoda; Insecta; Hymenoptera; Formicidae
Exons: 3
Source: RefSeq, a predicted model, not a curated record